CAUCCAGACUCCUACGGGAGGCAGCAGUGGGGAAUAUUGCACAAUGGGGGAAACCCUGAUGCAGCGACGCCGCGUGAGCGAUGAAGUAUUUCGGUAUGUAAAGCUCUAUCAGCAGGGAAGAAAAUGACGGUACCUGACUAAGAAGCCCCGGCUAACUACGUGCCAGCAGCCGCGGUAAUACGUAGGGGGCAAGCGUUAUCCGGAUUUACUGGGUGUAAAGGGAGCGUAGACGGCGGUGCAAGCCAGAUGUGAAAGUCCGGGGCUCAACCCCGGGACUGCAUUUGGAACUGUGCUGCUAGAGUGUCGGAGAGGCAGGCGGAAUUCCUAGUGUAGCGGUGAAAUGCGUAGAUAUUAGGAGGAACACCAGUGGCGAAGGCGGCCUGCUGGACGAUGACUGACGUUGAGGCUCGAAAGCGUGGGGAGCAAACAGGAUUAGAUACCCCUGUA
RNAcentral lists this ribosomal RNA (447 nucleotides) under uncultured bacterium. RNAcentral's name for it is "partial 16S ribosomal RNA". It matches the Rfam family "Bacterial small subunit ribosomal RNA", at positions 328 to 792 of the family's 1533-position model. The record is from RNAcentral.